RNAcentral lists this long non-coding RNA (1952 nucleotides) under Crocodylus porosus (Australian saltwater crocodile). RNAcentral's name for it is "lncRNA (ENSCPRG00005015042.1)". Lineage: Eukaryota; Metazoa; Chordata; Crocodylia; Crocodylidae. The record is from RNAcentral.
AUUCCCAUUCCCGAAGCACAGACUUUGAGAACAAGCCCAACAAUCAUGAGAGUUGGCAACGCUGCGUGUCUCCUCUAGCAAUUACAAAACAGGAGCACUAGAAUAGACCAGGGCCAGCGACAGAAAAAUCUGACCUGGCUACAGCAGCACGACAGCAACUAUUGCUAGUGGUAUGAGGUUAAAAAAGAAAAAGAAGAAGGGUCUAAUAUAAAUGAAGCUUAGGGGCAUAUAUGUGCCUUAUAGACUGUGCUUCCAAGGUGUCUCGGGCAUGUUGGGCAAGUACAGACAUGGAACUAUGCACAUUUCUUAAUGCUGCCAGAUAACAGAGGGCAGGCAAAAUAAAGGUAGACAAGCUAUAAAAAUUCUGGAACAAAUCACUGCUUCCUCUUAUACACAGAUCACUCUGUUGGUGGUUGCUGCCAAGGUCUCAGUGUCCCACAACCAUCUAGGGGAAAGAAAGUUCUGUGAAGGGAAGGAGGAGUAUUUAAGCGACAGACAGUGUUUUCUGCCAGAAUAGCAUAUUCCACAGCAGCAUGGACGAGAACCUUGAAGAUACAACCUGCAGCAACAUCAGAUCAAUUGACAAGGAUCUGACCAACUUAGUGACUUGGGCGCACACUCAUGGAACGAUAUGCAAUCAAAUCCCAGCCUUGGAAAUUGUACAGGGCAUGGACCGGCCCACCAGGGACAAUUCUGUUCUAUGGAUAUGUGUCACCGGACAUGCCUAUCACUGGCGCUGCGGUGGGGCACUGUACUUCAGAAGCAGGGAGGAAAGCGUAGAACAGAAGAAGAGGCCCCAAACCUCUGAUUCCUGCUCAGCAGACCACAAUUUAAGCGAAAAGAGAUACAGGGUAAGCUCACUGAAAGCUGAUUCUGAGAGCACAGGAUGCCACAGCAGAUCUCCAGGGAUAGCUCAAAAGAAAGAAGCCAAUAUGUGCUUCAUAGCAUGCGAUAUAGCAGUGCCACCAGAAAACCAGAGUGGACUUAUUCCUCUGAAAGACAGCAACUCCACAAGACUGUGCUGCGCCGCAGAGCAGAACAUGCUACUAACAACGGCUAGCUGUGCCACAACCAACCAAGGUACCGGGCCGACGAAAAGCAUGGAGGACCUGCAAGACAUCUCUGAUGAGGAACAGUUUGAAGCAGAGGCAGGACCCAAAAUAAAUUGGAAUAUUCUUUCAGACUCACAGAAUAAAGAAGUCUUGGCUGAGUAUGAACUGCAAGUGCAAGGCGAUAGGAACAGAGGGACUAGCCAGGAUACGGCCACCCAGACAUCUAUUUCUGUCUGCAAAGGGAAGGCGGUGACGACCCCCUUUUUACAAGAGAUUUUAGAACGCAGCAGUCCAGAGAGCCUGGAAAACCACUGCUUGAAUUUAAUUGCUCCUCCUCCUGCUAAGUCCAGAAGCAAAACCUCUGGAGCAGGGAAUCCCUCUGAAUCAGCAGUGUCUAAAGAGCAGUUAACAGCAACUCCCAUCCCCAGCAUGGAAACCAGGGCCCCGUUUGAGCCCCCUGUAUUUAGAGCUUUCCACGACUCCGCACCACUUGGCGUGGUCCACCAGCUGUGCCCUUCUGAGCACGUCACGUCGGGGACGGGGUUAGUCAGGAACGCUGCCGAAACACCGGGCGAGGAAAGCAAACAGUCAGGAUCCCAGACCGCAGCAAGUGCUUUAGCUUCACCUGCUCCAGGGAACGAAAGCGCCAAGGAUGGCCUGCCUGCACCUUCAAACAAAAAUCCCUGAGAAUAUUCACCAAUUCCUUUGACCUCAAUUCAGGGGCCCAGCACCCACCGUCUCCCACCUUCGGAUGUAACUUUCCCUCCCCUGCCCCGUUCUUCUUAAACACGCAUGAUCCCCAACGCACAAAUCGACAGGCCAUUUGCAUGGAGAAGAGCAGCCUGGAAGGCUGAUGCAGCAGGGUGACUCUUUAAUAAAUUACCUCUUUGCAAAUAACCA